GUGGUGUUUGGAUUGUCACAGCCGGUUGGCUCUAUGCUCGUGGAUCGGAUUAUCAGCAUGCAAUCAUCUUCGCUACUGUGAGAUGGAAUGAUGCCUCAGAUUCCUACCNAUUUGGAGGAAGCCAACCGCUUGACAGCUAGCCUCUGUUUGGUGCAGGAGGAUAGCGUAGCACCCCUCGUGUUCCACCRAGCCCUGACCUAUUGYGUUGCCUACGGGGACGUGUGAUGCUCUCAGAUCCAACACACACCGCAGGCUCACAUCCCAGUCCAAAGAUAAGCCUCGAUCUCCUAUACGAUGCCCACGCUCGCCCUGUGACCACCCCAGCGANAUGAAGGUGAAGCGUGGCGUCCUUAAGGAUUGUUACCUAGUUGAUCCUGCCAAUAGUCAUAUGCUUGUCU
RNAcentral lists this unclassified non-coding RNA (398 nucleotides) under Mariosousa salazarii. Its description in RNAcentral is "partial external transcribed spacer". The record is from RNAcentral. Lineage: Eukaryota; Viridiplantae; Streptophyta; Magnoliopsida; Fabales; Fabaceae.